AAAAGUCUCUAAUACUCUCUCUCUCGCUGGAAAAGAAUCUUAUCCUCUUCUUUGGUGGGACCAUCAGAUCACACGAGGUUACCCCUUUCCUCAAUCCACUCACGUCUCUCUCUUCUAACAAAAAAGAAAAGGAAAAAGAAAAGGCAGAUAAAAAGAAAAAAAAACCCUCACUUCUCUCUGAUCUCUGCGACCGGAAAAGAAAACAAAAGAGAAAAUUGGAAACAG
RNAcentral lists this long non-coding RNA (225 nucleotides) under Lathyrus oleraceus (garden pea). Its description in RNAcentral is "Pisum sativum (pea) long non-coding RNA (PSAT_LNC014393)". Lineage: Eukaryota; Viridiplantae; Streptophyta; Magnoliopsida; Fabales; Fabaceae. The record is from RNAcentral.